Molecule: ribosomal RNA, 409 nt
Filed under: uncultured bacterium
Lineage: Bacteria
Description: bacterial SSU rRNA
Rfam family: Bacterial small subunit ribosomal RNA
Source: RNAcentral
UGGGGAAUAUUGGACAAUGGGCGGAAGCCUGAUCCAGCAACGCCGCGUGAGGGAUGACGGCCUUCGGGUUGUAAACCUCUUUCGCCUGUGACGAAGCGAGAGUGACGGUAGCAGGUAAAGAAGCACCGGCCAACUACGUGCCAGCAGCCGCGGUAAUACGUAGGGUGCGAGCGUUAUCCGGAAUUAUUGGGCGUAAAGGGCUCGUAGGCGGUUUGUCGCGUCGGGAGUGAAAACAUCGGGCUUAACUCGGUGCUUGCUUUCGAUACGGGCAGACUUGAGGCAUGCAGGGGAGAACGGAAUUCCUGGUGUAGCGGUGAAAUGCGCAGAUAUCAGGAGGAACACCGGUGGCGAAGGCGGUUCUCUGGGCAUGUUCUGACGCUGAGGAGCGAAAGUGUGGGGAGCGAACAGG